UGGACGACGUUGACGUUAAGUGCCUUA
This 27-nucleotide small RNA is filed under the name Bombyx mori (domestic silkworm). Its description in RNAcentral is "ovarian small RNA-2257". The record is from RNAcentral. Lineage: Eukaryota; Metazoa; Arthropoda; Insecta; Lepidoptera; Bombycidae.